GUGCCAGCAGCCGCGGUAAUACGAAGGGGGCUAGCGUUGUUCGGAAUUACUGGGCGUAAAGCGCGCGUAGGCGGACCAUCAAGUCGGGGGUGAAAUCCUGGAGCUUAACUCCAGAACUGCCUUCGAUACUGUUGGUCUUGAGGUCGGGAGAGGUGAGUGGAACUGCGAGUGUAGAGGUGAAAUUCGUAGAUAUUCGCAAGAACACCAGUGGCGAAGGCGGCUCACUGGCCCGAAUCUGACGCUGAGGCGCGAAAGCGUGGGGAGCAAACAGGAUUAGAUACCCUGGUAGUCC
This 292-nucleotide ribosomal RNA is filed under the name uncultured bacterium. RNAcentral's name for it is "partial 16S ribosomal RNA". It matches the Rfam family "Bacterial small subunit ribosomal RNA", at positions 505 to 796 of the family's 1533-position model. The record is from RNAcentral.